Molecule: non-coding RNA, 26 nt
Filed under: Mus musculus (house mouse)
Lineage: Eukaryota; Metazoa; Chordata; Mammalia; Rodentia; Muridae
Source: RNAcentral
CCAGUCUCCAGAUGUCCACAGCAAGC